UACGUAGGGGGCAAGCGUUGUCCGGAUUUAUUGGGCGUAAAGAGCGUGUAGGCGGCCAGAUAAGUCCGCUGUGAAAACUCGAGGCUCAACCUCGAGACGUCGGUGGAAACCGUUUGGCUAGAGUCCGGAAGAGGAGAGUGGAAUUCCCGGUGUAGCGGUGAAAUGCGCAGAUAUCGGGAAGAACACCCGUGGCGAAGGCGGCUCUCUGGGACGGUACUGACGCUGAGACGCGAAAGCGUGGGGAGCGAACAGG
Molecule: ribosomal RNA, 253 nt
Filed under: uncultured bacterium
Lineage: Bacteria
Description: partial 16S ribosomal RNA
Rfam family: Bacterial small subunit ribosomal RNA
Source: RNAcentral